GUACCUACGGGGGGCAGCAGUGGGGGAUAUUGCACAAUGGGGGAAACCCUGAUGCAGCGACGCCGCGUGAGUGAAGAAGUAUUUCGGUACGUAAAGCUCUAUCAGCAGGGAAGAAUAAUGACGGUACCUGACUAAGAAGCCCCGGCUAACUACGUGCCAGCAGCCGCGGUAAUACGUAGGGGGCAAGCGUUAUCCGGAUUUACUGGGUGUAAAGGGAGCGUAGACGGCUGUGCAAGUCUGAAGUGAAAUACCGGGGCUCAACUUCGGGACUGCAUUGGAAACUGUCAGACUGGAGUGUCGGAGAG
RNAcentral lists this ribosomal RNA (305 nucleotides) under uncultured bacterium. Its description in RNAcentral is "bacterial SSU rRNA". It matches the Rfam family "Bacterial small subunit ribosomal RNA", at positions 335 to 656 of the family's 1533-position model. The record is from RNAcentral.